RNAcentral lists this long non-coding RNA (503 nucleotides) under Equus caballus (horse). Its description in RNAcentral is "lncRNA (ENSECAG00000038007.2)". Lineage: Eukaryota; Metazoa; Chordata; Mammalia; Perissodactyla; Equidae. The record is from RNAcentral.
UUCAAAGCUGAGAAGUGAUUUCAAGUCCUGAAGAAUCUGGUACAAGAAUUACAACAUUUUUGGCCUGGAUCGGAACUCUGACAUUGUCAAGUUCACGAUUCCUGAAUAUGCUAAUCAUUAGCUGGCAAUGAAUGUCUUUCUUCAAAAUAUAAAUUCCAGAUCUGGGUUUCUGAUUCGGCAUGUUUUUUGAAGCUCCCGCAAGAGAUUCAGAGAUUCUGUGCUUCCAAUCACCAGGAAUGAUGUCAAAGUGCAUAAAUCUGUGAGCAGCAAUGAAACUCACUUGGAGGGUCAUUCACAUGAAGAAAAACAUCUAGAACCAAGUGGCUUCAAGCUGCACAUGAAGUGGAAUGUUCCAGGAGCCGUUGUUGACACACAACCAGUACCUGUUCUUAAUAGUUAACACCUGACUCAUUCUCCAACAGCGUGUUUUAAGCUGUGUGAUGAUGGGCUCAGGACUUGCUCAGUUGGAUAGUACAAUUCACUGGAAUAAACGGUACCAAGAG